CGCGUAGGCGGCUUGAUAAGUCGGGGGUGAAAGCCUGUGGCUCAACCACAGAAUUGCCUUCGAUACUGUCGGGCUUGAGACCGGAAGAGGUAAGUGGAACUGCGAGUGUAGAGGUGAAAUUCGUAGAUAUUCGCAAGAACACCAGUGGCGAAGGCGGCUUACUGGUCCGGUUCUGACGCUGAGGCGCGAAAGCGUGGGGAGCAAACA
Molecule: ribosomal RNA, 207 nt
Filed under: uncultured bacterium
Lineage: Bacteria
Description: partial 16S ribosomal RNA
Rfam family: Bacterial small subunit ribosomal RNA
Source: RNAcentral